GAUGAACGCUGGCGGCGUGCCUAAUACAUGCAAGUCGAGCGAACAGACGAGGAGCUUGCUCCUUUGACGUUAGCGGCUGACGGGUGAGUAACACGUGGGUAACCUACCUAUAAGACUGGGAUAACUUCGGGAAACCGGAGCUAAUACCGGAUAAUAUUUCGAACCGCAUGGUUCGAUAGUGAAAGAUGGCUUUGCUAUCACUUAUAGAUGGACCUGCGCCGUAUUAGCUAGUUGAUAAGGUAACGGCUUACCAAGGCAACGAUACGUAGCCGACCUGAGAGGGUGAUCGGCCACACUGGAACUGAGACACGGUCCAGACUCCUACGGGAGGCAGCAGUAGGGAAUCUUCCGCAAUGGGCGAAAGCCUGACGGAGCAACGCCGCGUGAGUGAUGAAGGUCUUCGGAUCGUAAAACUCUGUUAUUAGGGAAGAACAAACGUGUAAGUAACUGUGCACGUCUUGACGGUACCUAAUCAGAAAGCCACGGCUAACUACGUG
Molecule: ribosomal RNA, 497 nt
Filed under: uncultured bacterium
Lineage: Bacteria
Description: partial 16S ribosomal RNA
Rfam family: Bacterial small subunit ribosomal RNA
Source: RNAcentral